Molecule: long non-coding RNA, 536 nt
Organism: Magnolia sinica
Lineage: Eukaryota; Viridiplantae; Streptophyta; Magnoliopsida; Magnoliales; Magnoliaceae
Exons: 2
Source: RefSeq, a predicted model, not a curated record
CUCAUACUGCUUUCUUCUCAUGCAACCGACCUCAGUUUUACAUGAGAACUGCAGAUGUAACUGGGAAGGUGGAUCACCAGAAAUUGUAAAGAUGGUGAUGCAUGGUGAUUACUGCGGGUUUUUUGGGCUCACAUCACCUGUUCCUCUCGAAGUAGUUUGCGUUGGAGAUUGGAGGUGUUUUGAGAAAUGGCAGAGGAGAUAUUGUCAUGUCCUUUUUCUGUUGAUUCUCUCAAAGUGGAGGCUCUUCCCCCUGUGCAAGAGGUUGAGAAUUUUUGUGAAUUCCUUGUAAGAAGCCUUUGAUGAUCAAAAGGAAGCACCCAAAUUGUUAUUAGAUGGGUUUUUCCAUGGAGUUUGGAUCAUGGAAAACAGCUUUUGUCAUUUCUGAAAUUAGGGUUUUCACGAUCUUAGGGGUCGUUUGGAUGCCUGUAAAAAUGGUUAAAGCUGUUUGGCUCGAUUCUGUAAAUGACACAAGUAAAGGCCUGUUUGGAUGGCUGUAAGAUGGAUUAGUGGGAAGUGACUUUCAAGGAAGUUGCUUA